This 365-nucleotide small RNA is filed under the name Bacillus manliponensis. RNAcentral describes it as "Bacillus sp. BL4-6 cspA thermoregulator". It matches the Rfam family "cspA thermoregulator". Lineage: Bacteria; Bacillati; Bacillota; Bacilli; Caryophanales; Bacillaceae. The record is from Rfam by way of RNAcentral.
UUAGGGAUGAUAUGCGUUCCUUAUGGGUUUUUGAUAAUAUGUGAAUUUUUAUUUUAUACGAAAUAAGACGGAUCAUAUUACUUUUAUUUUUUUAUUUUUAGGAGGCAUUUACCAUGACAUUAACAGGUAAAGUAAAAUGGUUUAACAGCGAAAAAGGUUUCGGUUUCAUCGAAGUUCCAGAAGGUAACGACGUAUUCGUUCACUUCUCUGCUAUCACUGGCGACGGCUUCAAAACUCUUGACGAAGGUCAAGAAGUUAGCUUCGAAGUUGAAGAAGGUAACCGCGGACCUCAAGCUAAAAACGUUGUAAAGCUAUAAUUUAAGCUAAAAAAAGGUUGUUAACACUGAAAGGUUAACAACCUUUUU